CCUACGGGAGUCAGCAGUGGGGACUAUUGCACAAUGUGGGAAACCCUGAUGCAGCGCCGCCGCGUGAGUGAAGAAGUAUUUCGGUACGUACAUCUCUAUCAGCAGGGAAGAAAAUGACGGUACCUGACUAAGAAGCCCCUGCUAACUACGUUCCAGCAGCCGCGGUACUACGUAGGGGGAAAGCGUGAUCCGGAUUUACUGGGUGUACAGGGAGCGUAGACGGCAGCGCAAGUCUGAAGUGACAUCCCAUGGCUUAACCAUGGAACUGCUUUGGACACUGUGCAGCUGGAGUGCAGGAGAGGUAAGCGGAAUUCCUAGUGUAGCGGUGAAAUGCGUAGAUAUUAGGAGGAACACCAGUGGCGAAGGCGGCUUACUGGACUGUAACUGACGUUGAGGCUCGAAAGCGUGGGGAGCAAACAGGAUUAGAUACCCCAGUAGUC
This 440-nucleotide ribosomal RNA is filed under the name uncultured bacterium. Its description in RNAcentral is "partial 16S ribosomal RNA". It matches the Rfam family "Bacterial small subunit ribosomal RNA", at positions 338 to 795 of the family's 1533-position model. The record is from RNAcentral.